RNAcentral lists this ribosomal RNA (372 nucleotides) under uncultured organism. Its description in RNAcentral is "bacterial SSU rRNA". It matches the Rfam family "Bacterial small subunit ribosomal RNA", at positions 526 to 896 of the family's 1533-position model. The record is from RNAcentral.
CGAAGGUGGCAAGCGUUACUCGGAAUUACUAGGCGUAAAGGGCAGGUAGGUGGUUUGGUUAGUCUGUUGUGAAAGCUCCUUGCUUAACGGGGAGAGGCCAACAGAUACUGCCAGACUUGAGUAUAGGAGAGGGUACUGGAAUUCCCGGUGUAGCGGUGAAAUGCGCAGAGAUCGGGAGGAACACCAAUGGCGAAAGCAGGUACCUGGACUAUUACUGACACUAAGCUGCGAAAGCUAGGGGAGCAAACAGGAUUAGAUACCCUGGUAGUCUUAGCCGUAAACGAUGCACAUUAGGCGUGAGGGGUAUCGACCCCCUUCGUGCCGAAGCAAACGCAUUAAAUGUGCCGCCUGGGGAGUACGGCCGCAAGGUUG